UUUUGGGAUUGCUAGUGGACAGGCAUGAGAAGGAAAUUGCAUCCCUACUAAGAAAGAUGGAAUACAAAAAGGGGUGUAGAGUUUCAGCUAGGAAGAAAAGGCCCUCCUCCACAUCCUGCUUGGUUAGGGAGCUUCAUAAUUUGGAAUGCUUGGUCAAAUAAAGCAAUUCAAUAUACUUGGAUUCUUAAACUUAGAGGUUCUUACUUUUUUUUUUUUGUGUACUUUUAGGAGGAUCUCUUAUUCUUCUUUGUACUUAUUUUACUUACCUCAAUAUACUAUACCAUUGUUUCUCAUCAAAUAAAUAAAUAAAUAAAUACUACAAUUCAAACAAAAGAGAGAGAAGUUGGAAGAGUAGGUGGGAAUUGGUUUGAAAGUGACUUUAUAGGCUGUGGUUUUUGGGUAAGGAAGUGUGAUUGUCGCAAUAGUGGGGUGUUUUAGGUUAGUCUCACCCGAGAGUUUGUUAAUUAUGGUUUCUUUGUGGUUUUAGACUCUAGGGUGAAGUCUCUCGUUUUGGGCGUUGGUUU
RNAcentral lists this long non-coding RNA (524 nucleotides) under Vitis vinifera (wine grape). Its description in RNAcentral is "long non-coding RNA (VVIN_LNC002329)". Lineage: Eukaryota; Viridiplantae; Streptophyta; Magnoliopsida; Vitales; Vitaceae. The record is from RNAcentral.